RNAcentral lists this ribosomal RNA (1053 nucleotides) under Triticum aestivum (bread wheat). RNAcentral's name for it is "partial small subunit ribosomal RNA". The record is from RNAcentral. Lineage: Eukaryota; Viridiplantae; Streptophyta; Magnoliopsida; Poales; Poaceae.
AUGCGGUGCCAACCGCAACUCCGCGCCAAAAUCCGCCUCCUCGACCCACCCGCGCCCCCCUCCACCGCCUGCGACGCCGGCCUACGCGCGCUGGGCCUCCUCGACUUCGUCCGCCUCGACCUCUGCUUCUCCGGCGCGUUGUGCCGCCAACACGUCGCAGAUCUUAUCGCUAACUACAGCGCGGAACACGGGCAGAGCUCCACGCAGAACGGCCGCAUCGAUGUCUGCUGCCGUACCUUCGCCAAGGCGCUCUGCCUCCCGCCCCCUGGGGCUGCGGCUGCGAGGACCGCGUCCUCCGAAGUGGACUCGGCCGCCGUCGCCUUCGCCGCGACGGAGUUCAUCAAGGCCUACAUCCUGACGCCGUUAGAGGCAGGCAGCGGCUGGAAUAGCAGGGCCCGCACGAGGGCACAGAUGGUGGUGAUGGAUGGGAAGGCGCAUACUUUUGACUGGACCGCGCUGAUCUGGAGCCUCGUGGAGGAAGAGAUGUUCGAGCUUAGGAAAGGGACGAGGUCCCGCUCGGCAUGCUACUACGGCGCCUACCUGCAGAAGCUCGUCUUGGUGAAGUGGCCGACUCUUUUCCGGCCGCCGCCCAAGUCGUCAUUGGGUGCACAACACAAGAAGCCCUCCGCAAUCAGCGGGGGAAACAAGCGGUUAACAACCAGUGAGCUGGAUUCCAAGUGCAAGAUGCAAGAACUUUUUGGUGCGAGAUCUAUGCAGACACAGACUGCAGCGCUAGCUACCCUAAACAAGCUUGAUAGAAAGAACCUUGAGCAAGACAAAGAAAAGUUGCAUUCGACCAAGUCACUCAACGAUGCUGUAGUUACCCCCAAAAGGAAAAAGAACGAUGAGUUGCAGCACCCAGAGCUGGAUCCGGAGAUGAAAAAGGAUCUCGAUGCAAAAACAAUGCAGCCCGAAGCAAGAUCUGCGGAGUUUGAUGCGAGACCCAUGCAGACAGAGCUUGCACCGCUAGCUACCCUGAAAGAGCUCGAUAGAAGGAACCUUGAGCAAGACAAUGAAAACCUGGAUUCAACGAGUCGCUCAACAAGGCUGUAG